GGGCCGGUAGCUCAGCCUGGUAGAGCACCUGUUGACGGAUACAAGGUCGGGGUGAAACUUUUAAUCAGGUGGUCGCGAGUCCGAACAACCCAUUUCGAUUAAGGAAAUCUCGUCCGGCCCA
RNAcentral lists this transfer RNA (121 nucleotides) under Candidatus Woesearchaeota archaeon. RNAcentral describes it as "tRNA-OTHER". The record is from RNAcentral. Lineage: Archaea; Nanobdellati; Candidatus Woesearchaeota.